CGGUAAUACGGAGGGUGCGAGCGUUAUUCGGAAUUACUGGGCGUAAAGCGCGUGUAGGCGGGGAUGCAAGUCUGAUGUGAAAGCCCCGGGCUUAACCUGGGAAGUGCAUUGGAAACUGCAUUUCUUGAGUGCUGGAGAGGAAGGGGGAAUUCCCGGUGUAGAGGUGAAAUUCGUAGAGAUCGGGAGGAAUACCAGUGGCGAAGGCGCCCUUCUGGACGGCAACUGACGCUGAGACGCGAAAGCGUGGGGAGCAAACAGGAUUAGAUACCCUGGUAGUCCACGCUGUAAACGAUGAUCACUAGGUGUAGCGGGUACUCAUUCCUGCUGUGCCGCAGCUAACGCGUUAAGUGAUCCGCCUGGGGACUACGGUCGCAAGACUAAA
This 382-nucleotide ribosomal RNA is filed under the name uncultured bacterium. Its description in RNAcentral is "bacterial SSU rRNA". It matches the Rfam family "Bacterial small subunit ribosomal RNA", at positions 518 to 898 of the family's 1533-position model. The record is from RNAcentral.